CAGCACGGGAGCAAUCCUGGUGGCGAGUGGCGCACGGGUGCGUAACGCGUAUGCAAUCUACCUAUAACUGGGGAAUAGCCUUCCGAAAGGAAGAUUAAUACCGCAUAAUAUCACGAAGCGGCAUCGUUUUGUGAUCAAAUCUCCGGAGGUUAUAGAUGAGCAUGCGUGACAUUAGCUAGUUGGUGAGGUAACGGCUCACCAAGGCGACGAUGUCUAGGGGGUCUGAGAGGAUGAUCCCCCACACUGGUACUGAGACACGGACCAGACUCCUACGGGAGGCAGCAGUAAGGAAUAUUGGACAAUGGGCGCAAGCCUGAUCCAGCCAUGCCGCGUGCAGGAUGAAGGUGCUCUGCAUUGUAAACUGCUUUUGUUUGGGAAUAAACUCCUGUACGUGUACAGGACUGAAUGUACCAAAAGAAUAAGGGACGGCUAACUUCGUGCCAGCAGCCGCGGUAAU
This 457-nucleotide ribosomal RNA is filed under the name uncultured Bacteroidota bacterium. RNAcentral's name for it is "bacterial SSU rRNA". It matches the Rfam family "Bacterial small subunit ribosomal RNA", at positions 70 to 524 of the family's 1533-position model. Lineage: Bacteria; Pseudomonadati; Bacteroidota. The record is from RNAcentral.